UACGGGGGGGGCAAGCGUUGUUCGGAAUUACUGGGCGUAAAGGGCGCGUAGGCGGCAAGGCAAGUCAGGUGUGAAAGCCCCGAGCUUAACUCGGGAAUUGCAUCUGAAACUGCUGUGCUUGAGUUCUGGAGGGGGUAGUGGAAUUCCCAGUGUAGCGGUGAAAUGCGUAGAUAUUGGGAGGAACACCUGCGGCGAAGGCGGCUACCUGGACAGAAACUGACGCUGAGGCGCGAAAGCUAGGGGAGCGAACGGG
RNAcentral lists this ribosomal RNA (253 nucleotides) under uncultured bacterium. RNAcentral describes it as "partial 16S ribosomal RNA". It matches the Rfam family "Bacterial small subunit ribosomal RNA", at positions 524 to 776 of the family's 1533-position model. The record is from RNAcentral.